GAUCCUGCCGGAGGCUACUGCUAUCNGGGUUCGANUAANCCAUGCGAGUUAAAUGUUCUUCGUGAACAUAGCGAACUGCUCAGUAACACGUGGAUAACCUACCCUUUAGGACCGGAAUAACCCCGGGAAACUGGGGAUAAUACCGGAUAAGCCAUAGACGCUGGAAUGCCCUAUGGUUCAAAGNUCCGGCGCCUAAGGAUGGAUCUGCGGUCUAUCAGGUUGUAGUGGGUGUAACGUACCUACUAGCCGACGACGGAUACGGGUUGUGAGAGCAAGAGCCCGGAGAUGGAUUCUGAGACACGAAUCCAGGCCCUACGGGGUGCAGCAGGCGCGAACACUUUACAAUGCGGGAAACCGCGAUAAGGGAACCCCGAGUGCCAGCAUCAAAUGUUGGCCGUCCAGAUGGUUAAAAAUCAUUUGUUGGCAAGGGCCGGGCAAGACCGGUGCCAGCCGCCGCGGUAACACCGGCGGCCCGAGUGGUAGCCGUUUUUAUUGGGUCUAAAGGGUCCGUAGCCGGCCUGAUAAGUCCUUUGGGAAAUCUGACAGCUUAACUGUCAGGCUUCUAAGGGAUACUGUCAGGCUUGGGACCGGAAGAGGUAAGGGGUACUCCAGGGGUAGGAGUGAAAUCUUGUAUUCCCUGGGGGACCAUCUGUGGCGAAGGCGCCUUACCAGAACGGGUCCGACGGUGAGGGACGAGAGCUAGGGGAGCAAACCGGAUUAGAUACCCGGGUAGUCCUAGCUGUAAACGAUGCUCGCUAGGUGUCAGACACGGUGCGACCGUGUUUGGUGCCGCAGGGAAGCCGUUAAGCGAGCCACCUGGGAAGUACGGUCGCAAGGCUGAAACUUAAAGGAAUUGGCGG
This 860-nucleotide ribosomal RNA is filed under the name uncultured archaeon. RNAcentral's name for it is "bacterial SSU rRNA". It matches the Rfam family "Archaeal small subunit ribosomal RNA", at positions 10 to 871 of the family's 1478-position model. The record is from RNAcentral.